UACGUAGGGUGCGAGCGUUAAUCGGAAUUACUGGGCGUAAAGCGUGCGCAGGCGGUUAUGUAAGACAGAUGUGAAAUCCCCGGGCUCAACCUGGGAACUGCAUUUGUGACUGCAUAGCUAGAGUACGGUAGAGGGGGAUGGAAUUCCGCGUGUAGCAGUGAAAUGCGUAGAUAUGCGGAGGAACACCGAUGGCGAAGGCAAUCCCCUGGACCUGUACUGACGCUCAUGCACGAAAGCGUGGGGAGCAAUCAGG
Molecule: ribosomal RNA, 253 nt
Filed under: uncultured bacterium
Lineage: Bacteria
Description: partial 16S ribosomal RNA
Rfam family: Bacterial small subunit ribosomal RNA
Source: RNAcentral